UACGGAGGGGGGCUAGCGUUGUUCGGAAUUACUGGGCGUAAAGCGCGCGUAGGCGGCUUUGUAAGUUAGAGGUGAAAGCCCGGAGCUCAACUCCGGAACUGCCUUUAAGACUGCAUCGCUAGAAUUGUGGGAGAGGUAAGUGGAAAUUCCGAGUGUAGAGGUGAAAUUCGUAGAUAUUCGGAAGAACACCAGUGGCGAAGGCGACUUACUGGGACACAUAUUGACGCUGAGGUGGCGAAAAGCGUGGGGGAGCAAACAGG
Molecule: ribosomal RNA, 260 nt
Filed under: uncultured bacterium
Lineage: Bacteria
Description: partial 16S ribosomal RNA
Rfam family: Bacterial small subunit ribosomal RNA
Source: RNAcentral